This 497-nucleotide ribosomal RNA is filed under the name uncultured bacterium. RNAcentral describes it as "partial 16S ribosomal RNA". It matches the Rfam family "Bacterial small subunit ribosomal RNA", at positions 28 to 507 of the family's 1533-position model. The record is from RNAcentral.
GAUGAACGCUGGCGGCGUGCCUAAUACAUGCAAGUCGAGCGAACAGACGAGGAGCUUGCUCCUCUGACGUUAGCGGCGGACGGGUGAGUAACACGUGGAUAACCUACCUAUAAGACUGGGAUAACUUCGGGAAACCGGAGCUAAUACCGGAUAAUAUAUUGAACCGCAUGGUUCAAUAGUGAAAGACGGUUUUGCUGUCACUUAUAGAUGGAUCCGCGCCGCAUUAGCUAGUUGGUAAGGUAACGGCUUACCAAGGCAGCGAUGCGUAGCCGACCUGAGAGGGUGAUCGGCCACACUGGAACUGAGACACGGUCCAGACUCCUACGGGAGGCAGCAGUAGGGAAUCUUCCGCAAAGGGCGAAAGCCUGACGGAGCAACGCCGCGUGAGUGAUGAAGGUCUUCGGAUCGUAAAACUCUGUUAUUAGGGAAGAACAAAUGUGUAAGUAACUAUGCACGUCUUGACGGUACCUAAUCAGAAAGCCACGGCUAACUACGUG